RNAcentral lists this ribosomal RNA (1364 nucleotides) under uncultured bacterium. RNAcentral's name for it is "bacterial SSU rRNA". It matches the Rfam family "Bacterial small subunit ribosomal RNA", at positions 28 to 1381 of the family's 1533-position model. The record is from RNAcentral.
AUUGAACGCUGGCGGCAGGCCUAACACAUGCAAGUCGAGCGGUAGCACGGGAGAGCUUGCUCUCUGGGUGACGAGCGGCGGACGGGUGAGUAAUGUCUGGGAAACUGCCUGAUGGAGGGGGAUAACUACUGGAAACGGUAGCUAAUACCGCAUGAUGUCGCAAGACCAAAGUGGGGGACCUUCGGGCCUCACGCCAUCGGAUGUGCCCAGAUGGGAUUAGCUAGUAGGUGGGGUAAUGGCUCACCUAGGCGACGAUCCCUAGCUGGUCUGAGAGGAUGACCAGCCACACUGGAACUGAGACACGGUCCAGACUCCUACGGGAGGCAGCAGUGGGGAAUAUUGCACAAUGGGCGCAAGCCUGAUGCAGCCAUGCCGCGUGUGUGAAGAAGGCCUUAGGGUUGUAAAGCACUUUCAGCGAGGAGGAAGGCGUUGUAGUUAAUAGCUGCAACGAUUGACGUUACUCGCAGAAGAAGCACCGGCUAACUCCGUGCCAGCAGCCGCGGUAAUACGGAGGGUGCAAGCGUUAAUCGGAAUUACUGGGCGUAAAGCGCACGCAGGCGGUUUGUUAAGUCAGAUGUGAAAUCCCCGAGCUUAACUUGGGAACUGCAUUUGAAACUGGCAAGCUAGAGUCUUGUAGAGGGGGGUAGAAUUCCAGGUGUAGCGGUGAAAUGCGUAGAGAUCUGGAGGAAUACCGGUGGCGAAGGCGGCCCCCUGGACAAAGACUGACGCUCAGGUGCGAAAGCGUGGGGAGCAAACAGGAUUAGAUACCCUGGUAGUCCACGCUGUAAACGAUGUCGACUUGGAGGUUGUGCCCUUGAGGCGUGGCUUCCGGAGCUAACGCGUUAAGUCGACCGCCUGGGGAGUACGGCCGCAAGGUUAAAACUCAAAUGAAUUGACGGGGGCCCGCACAAGCGGUGGAGCAUGUGGUUUAAUUCGAUGCAACGCGAAGAACCUUACCUACUCUUGACAUCCAGAGAAUUCGCUAGAGAUAGCUUAGUGCCUUCGGGAACUCUGAGACAGGUGCUGCAUGGCUGUCGUCAGCUCGUGUUGUGAAAUGUUGGGUUAAGUCCCGCAACGAGCGCAACCCUUAUCCUUUGUUGCCAGCACGUCAUGGUGGGAACUCAAAGGAGACUGCCGGUGAUAAACCGGAGGAAGGUGGGGAUGACGUCAAGUCAUCACGGCCCUUACGAGUAGGGCUACACACGUGCUACAAUGGCGUAUACAAAGAGAAGCGAACUCGCGAGAGCAAGCGGACCUCAUAAAGUACGUCGUAGUCCGGAUUGAAGUCUGCAACUCGACUCCAUGAAGUCGGAAUCGCUAGUAAUCGUAGAUCAGAAUGCUACGGUGAAUACGUUCCCGGGCCU